Molecule: ribosomal RNA, 440 nt
Filed under: uncultured bacterium
Lineage: Bacteria
Description: partial 16S ribosomal RNA
Rfam family: Bacterial small subunit ribosomal RNA
Source: RNAcentral
CCUACGGGUGGCAGCAGUGGGGAAUAUUGCACAAUGGGGGAAACCCUGAUGCAGCAACGCCGCGUGAGUGAAGAAGUAUUUCGGCAUGUAAAGCUCUAUCAGCAGGGAAGAAGAUGACGGUACCUGUGUAAGAAGCCCCGGCUAACUACGUGCCAGCAGCCGCGGUAAUACGUAGGGGGCAAGCGUUAUCCGGAUUUCCUGGGUGUAAAGGGAGCGCAGACGGUGAGACAAGUCUGAAGUGAAAGCCCGGGGCUCAACCCCGGGACUGCUUUGGAAACUGCCUGACUGGAGGGCUGGAGAGGCAAGCGGAAUUCCUAGUGUAGCGGUGAAAUGCGGAGAUAUUAGGAAGAACACCAGUGGCGAAGGCGGCUUGCUGGACAGUAACUGACGUUGAGGCUCGAAAGCGUGGGGAGCAAACAGGAUUAGAUACCCUUGUAGUC